Molecule: unclassified non-coding RNA, 189 nt
Filed under: uncultured Perenniporia
Lineage: Eukaryota; Fungi; Basidiomycota; Agaricomycetes; Polyporales; Polyporaceae
Description: sequence contains ITS2
Source: RNAcentral
AAUCAUCAACUUACAAGCCUUUGCGGACUGUAAGCUUGGACUUGGAGGCUUGCCGGCUCUUUCGUCGGCUCCUCUCAAAUGCAUUAGCUCGAUUCCUUGCGGAUCGGCUCUCGGUGUGAUAAUGUCUACGCCGUGACCGUGAAGCGUUUGGCGGGCUUCUAAUCGUCUCGUUGGAGACAAUCUAUUGAC